CCUACGGGGGGCAGCAGUAGGGAAUCUUCCACAAUGGACGAAAGUCUGAUGGAGCAACGCCGCGUGAGUGAAGAAGGUCUUCGGAUCGUAAAACUCUGUUGUUAGAGAAGAACGUGCAUGAUAGUAACUGAUCAUGUAAUGACGGUAUCUAACCAGAAAGCCACGGCUAACUACGUGCCAGCAGCCGCGGUAAUACGUAGGUGGCAAGCGUUGUCCGGAUUUAUUGGGCGUAAAGGGAACGCAGGCGGUUUUUUAAGUCU
RNAcentral lists this ribosomal RNA (260 nucleotides) under uncultured Bacillota bacterium. Its description in RNAcentral is "uncultured Firmicutes bacterium partial 16S ribosomal RNA". It matches the Rfam family "Bacterial small subunit ribosomal RNA", at positions 338 to 590 of the family's 1533-position model. Lineage: Bacteria; Bacillati; Bacillota. The record is from RNAcentral.